This 68-nucleotide transfer RNA is filed under the name Desmaulus extinctorium. Its description in RNAcentral is "tRNA-Pro". Lineage: Eukaryota; Metazoa; Mollusca; Gastropoda; Littorinimorpha; Calyptraeidae. The record is from RNAcentral.
CAGAAUUGUAGUUUAAUAAAAAUAAUGGCAUUGGAAGUCAUAGAUUAGGGAAUAUCCCUACGUUUUGA